UUAUAAUACAAUACACCCACGCGUAAUUACUUAUUGUAAUGAUUUCAUUUCAUAAGUCUCAUUUCGUAAUUGCGUCUGGAUUUCACUUUUACGUCAUCCUGACCUGACGAGACUGGAGAUCUACGAUGAUAUGAGAGCCCAUUCCGGUAAUCUUUGCAUAAUCAGUGCAUUCUCAAUUUCAUCAAUUUCAAGGCCAUUUUAAGAAUGCAAAACCAGCUAGCCGUCCUAAUACACUCUCACCAUGACCAGGGAAAUAAUCACGCAAAUUACAAACUCGAUGAUAACAAAUGUUUAGAAGAUUGGUUGAUGAAAAUGACAUAAUAAUAGUGAAUAUUUUUGCACUGAUUCAAAUUUCAAAAAAUUACAAGCAUCAUCCAUCUAUUUAGUUUGGUAGUCCUAAGUUUUUCACGAUAAUACAUCAGCCAGUUGACAUCCCAGAAAAAUAAUUGACCAAGUGAGAGUGAGUAAGCGAGUAAACAAAGCUGCACAUGAAACGUGUUUGUGGCCAAGGAACAAGAUUGAACACGGCUAACUCGUCCAGUGUCAAACAGGAAGAAACUCGUCUCAGAAUUUAAGAGACAGCAUUUCAAAGGCUGAAUUGAAUCCCAGUUGUCUUAUCAUUUCAGUCCUCCAGUUACUGAGACCAGUCCUCCACCGAGAAAAUUGCUGUUCACCAAUUACAAUAACUGGAUAAAAAAGGAGAACAAUGACUCAAUCAGCAGCUCCACCCACUGGAAAGUCAUCCUCUGACAAGGACGAUGACCCCAAUUUCGUUGACAUGUCCUCCAUUCCCGAAUUCUUGUUGGAUGUCGAAGCCGACUUUUGUCUCACUUGGGCCAUGGAUGUCAAACUCACGCAGAAAAAGGCAGAGACAAUUAUAACGUCUUUCAACAUGAUAAAAACAACUCGCGAUCGUCUCUCUCGAAUUUCGCACCAUAUUCUGAAAAGUUUUUUUCUUUGGUUUUUGCAUAAAAAAUACCCAAAGUUUUUAGCCGAUGCUAAAAAAGAAAUUGCAGUUGCGGCGACUCUGGUUGGAGAAUGGUCACAGGAAACAAAGGUGAUAAAGUGCUAUCACACGUACUACGGAUUCGUGGAGGAUUAUAUCGAUGGAGUUGACUAUGUCGUUACAGCCAUGAAAGUCUUAAUCGAACCGAGCAACCAGAAUGUUGACAGAGGAAUCUUGUGCGAUCUCCCCACGGGAAAAAUGCUGGCUGGCGUCCUCCACGUAAAACAAGAGUUUUUUCGACCAUUUUUUGAUGAAAUUGACUAUCGUGUCAAAUUGUUGGAAAAUAUUCGACUCCUCAAUAAAAGUGAUACUCGGGCGUGCCUCUACUUGGCAAAAACCCUCGGCCAAAAGAGAAAGAUGGAAAAUUUCAUCUCCGCACCGAGCCACAAAGAGAUGGACUUGCUGGCCGAAGGACACAUGAAAACCAAAGGGGACCACAGCAUUGUUAUCGAGCUAUGUUAUUGCUUGGCACAAUUUUUGAGGAAUUCCAUAAAUCUUCGUCAUUUUUGGCCAAUUCCUUAUGGGAAAUCACAUGUUAAAUUUUUUCUGAUCAAAGGUUAUGAACCCUACCUAUGAACCCGGAACCGGAACCCGGAACCCUACCUAUGAACUUUGGCAAAAUUCGAAAAUUUUGUCUUUUCUCCUCUAUCUUAAUUUAUCCAUCGAGUUCCCGGAAUUUGGGUGUGAGGAAGAGUAUUUAAGUAUUUUAUUUGGAGAAAGUAGUUGAGGGGCGAUUUGAGUCGCCAUAACGAUAAUUCUGGCACGGGUAUAAAACUCAUUGCAUGCACAAAAAUCAGUCAGUGUGUCGUGAGAGCUGCCUGGAGAAGGAAGUAGAAGAAAGAAGUAGAAGCAUAAAUAAGCGGAAGAAGAAAAAGGUUAAAGGGUACGUUUUAGGGCACUGUAGAGUCAACUUUACAGGUAAUGUGUUAGAAGAGUCAACUCUUCAACACCAAAAGGUUUCUUUUUUCGUGUCACGAGAAGUGACAAUUUGAUGUAUGGGGUCAAGUUAGUAAUUUUAUUUAUUGGGUCAAGUCAGCCAUCUUCUCACUCCUCCCUUCAAGCCACAUAGUUAUUUAUAGUUAUUUAUUUGGGGAAUAAAUACUCGGGGGUUUGUUAAUUGUUAAACUAUGUUGUGGUGUCAUAUUUAUUUUAAGUUAAUGAGUUGUCAAAUGGUCCGUAGAGUAAUUUUCUAAGCACAAAACAUUAUUAUAAUAGCAGUAAAGAACCCGGGUAGUGCGUUGAAUACGCAAAAGUGUCGUAAUUAGUCAGGAAGGCAUAAUUCGUCACAAUUGGGGGCUCGACCGGGAAAUUACUGCGUUUUGAUAGUUCGGAAUUGGUCAUUUUGGGUUAGGUUUUGGGAAGAUUUUUUUUUAAAAAGGGAGGAAUUAGGUUGAAAAUCCAAUUCGUCUGAUCAGGUCAUACUUUCUUGCUGAAGAGAAAAUCCAAAAGGUCAAAUAGAGAAAAUUUUUUAAGAGGAUGGGAAUUCCUCUGUAACUAUGGCUAGCGGGACUAGGGGUGCAAAGAAAAGAGAAAGACGUCAGCAAAUGGCGGAUUUGGGUGUAGAUGAAGUUGUGCGUAGUGCACCAUCAAAUGUAAAUAAUAAACGAAGGGAGAGACGACAUCAAGAAGCUGAUUCAAAUUUGAAUGUGAAUAGAGAUAGGGAUGAAGCAGUGCAAGGUUCAUCAUUCGAGUCAAAUAGGUUCUCAAGGUUACAAGAAGUAGACGAAGGUCAUCAGGAGGAGGAUGGAAGUCAAAGCGAGCUAAUUAGCAGUGGAAGUCGAGUAGUUCAGGAAAAAGAAAGUGAAAUGCAAGAGGAUAAUUUGAAUAGUAGUAAUAGUCGCACUCAGGUAAAUAGUGUUAGUGAAAAAUGGUCAGAUUCAAACGAUUUACAUGAUUUGGUAAAGCAUUUUGUUCGAGAAAGUCAGGGUACAAGUAUUCAGGUUGCGGGUGCAUUAGAGAAGUUGGCAACUGUGUUGGGAGGAUUGAAUAUUUCUCAACCAGGUCAGGUUUCGGGGUCGGUAGAAGGUAAUACUCGAUUUCUUCCUCAUCUAAAAAGUAAGGAUUUGCAAAUUCCAAAAUAUGGUGGAGUACACGAGGCUAAGACUCCAUUUGAUUUCUUAUCUGAAUUAGAAAAAUAUAGACUGGCUGCAGGUCUCAGUGAAUUUCAAAUGUUCAAUUCUGUAGUUCCGUUAGCUCUAACAGGUCAAGUAUAUGAUUGGUUUCAGUUCAUAAAGGACGAUGUCAGUUCUUGGGGGGAAUUCUGUGCAGUUUUUCGGAAGGAGUUCCAACCUCCUGGAUAUGACGAGGAAUUACGUAGGGAAUUAGAGGAACGGACACAGGGACCCCAUGAGACGUUGUCACAUUACAUAAGAAUUAUAAAUGGGUUUUAUGAACGAAUUGAUCCCAAAACACCUGAAUCUGUUAAAAUUGCUAGGAUUUUACGACAAAUGCAUCCGAGUUAUAGACAAAAAGUUUUGAGAACUGGGGAAGAAUUUGUUAGUAUGAGACAGUUGGCAGAUGCAGCAUUAAAAGUUCAGGAAGAUAUUUGGUAUGAAAAGGAAUACCGUGAACCGAAACAGUUUUCUGUGGUAGAGCCAUCUUUGGCUUAUAAAGUUCCACAAGCUCAAAAAUUACAAUCGAGUCCGCCUUGGAGUAAACCAGUUAACAAUCAAAAUAGGGAUUUGCAGCCUAGUUCGUUUGAUCCAUAUCGACAGUUUCACUCAGAACCAAGAGGCUUCCAAAAAUUCCAAUUUUCGAGUAAUAAUUUUAGUAGAAGUAAUCAGAAUCACGGUUUUGAGUCGUCAUCAAGAGAGAAUCAGUCAUUAGAAUUUCAAAGGAAUGCUAAUCAAUUUCAAGGACAAGCCCAACGUUUCCCUACGAAUCGUCCAUUUAAUGCAAACUGGGGCAAUCAAAGUUCAAGUGAAAGUAUUACAAACCGUCCUCGUAGCUUUUCAAUGUCUGAUACUGUUUCUCCCACCAAUCAAGCUGUUCAAAAUCAGGGUAACAGGGCUAUUAGUUCGGAGAAUGUUGAUGGAAGUUCGCAACGUAACAGAGCUUGUUUUCGGUGUGGGAGAGAAGGACAUUUUGCUCGAGAGUGUCAAGCAAAUCAACCUCAGGUCUCGGGAAACGCAAUCAACCUGAGCCGAAUUUAGGUUGCGCGGCUCGGGUUGCCAAUAAUACAAGAGAAGGCAACCAAUUAGAAAGUAGAGAAUCAGUUAUGACGUGGGAUCACAAGUCUCCUUUAAUUAAAGUAACUAUAUGCGGCCGUAAUUUCUUAGCAUUGUUGGAUACUGGAGCGUCAAUUUCUUUAAUUAAUCAGGAAGUUAUCGAGGUAGUAGAGAAUUUGAAUAUAAAGAAAGAACAGUGUCUUACAAAUAUUACUUGGGUUAGUGGAAAUUCUGUAACGUCUGAAUUUGUUAAUUUAACGACUACGUGGAUAUCUGGGAAAAAGAGGCAGAAGUUUCAUUUAGUUCCCGAUCUUCAAUAUUCGGUUUUACUGGGACGUGACUUUAUUUGGAGUAGUCAAAUAGUAAUUGAUAUAUUUUCUGGAGGCUGGUAUCAGGGGUCGGAGAGACAAAAAUUGGUUCCAUUCGAUUGUGUCGGGGAGACUGGGGAAAUUAAAAGAUCUCGUACUGGCUUGCAAAGUAUGGCUUUACAUGAUUUGUCGGUUGGUUGUUCCGAGACCGGAGGGGGUUCACCGCCACCUACUAGUGACUCCAUUUUUGUAAAGAGCUUACGCACUGAUGGUAGCGCUACUGUAGGCAAACAGUCAGACGUCGAGCCCCUUUGCAAUGAGUUAGCUCUGAAAUAUUCUCAAGGCCAAGUGAAAUUAAUGGAGGAACUACGCAAAGAUUUUGAGGAGGUUCACUUGUUUUUUGAAGACUCGUCGGUUGAGUUGUAUCCUGGUCGAAAUGAGACUAAAAUUAGCACCUCCCCUCUCAACCUUGAUGAACUUAUUUCAAAAACUGGCCUGUCAGACGAGCAAAAUAGUCAAGUUAAAAAAGUCAUGGAAGAAUUUGCUCCAUUAUUUAGUAAAUCACCUGGGUAUGCAUGUAAUUUUGAGCACGAAAUUGAUACAGGGAAUGCUAAGCCUAUUAAGUGUCAUCCGAGACCCAUGACCCCAGCUAAGAGGAAAAUUUUACAAGGUUUACUGAAGGAAUUAUUAGAUAAAGGUACUAUUGAAAAAUCGAGCAGUCCGUGGGCUUCAAAUCCAGUCAUUGUCCCAAAACCGAAUGGCAAAUUUAGGCUUUGUAUAGAUUUUCGCCCUCUUAAUAAAGUAACUGUACCAGAUUCCUAUACAAUGAGUAGAAUUGACGAUAUUUUGACUUGUCUCGGUACAGCAAAAUACAUUUCCACUUUCGAUAUUACCGACGGAUUUUAUAAUAUUCCACUAUCCCAUAAGGAUAAAUGUAAGACAGCCUUUAAUACGCCUUGGGGCUUAUUUCAGUAUAUUAUGAUGUGUUUUGGGCUCCGGAAUAGUCCACCAACUUUUGAAAAGUGUAUGGAUAAGGUAUUGGGGAAAUACAAAUGGCGUUUUGUUGUAGCAUUUGUUGACGAUUUAAUUAUUUAUUCAAAUACAUUUGAAGAGCAUUUAGAACAUUUGAGACUCGUUCACACGAUUAUUAGAGACACCAAAUUAGGCGUCUAUAUCAUGAGCGAUCGCAACCCUACAGCUCAUGAGAGUUGCUAAAAAAAUUAAAAUUUCCAAAUUUUGCAAUAUUUUGCCCAAUAAAUGCCAUUUUCUUUGGAUCUGUAGGAAAGACAACCUCCCAGGCAUGGUCAUUUAGUCGACAACGUAGGUCUGUGCUAUCCUAGUAACAUGAAUUGGACGUAAUUGAACUUACAAAUUGAAAUAAUGGACCAUACAAGGUUCCUUAAUAACGACAUUGCCCGCAAGGUUUAGCUCACAGCUAUGCCAGUUCUCAAGCGAUUUCGCUGGUUGACCGCGCAAUUUGUAGGGAAUUUGAGUGCCUAAAAAUAAUGCCUCCUUCAUGUUUGCCAAAUCUGCUUGCAAAGUGAGCGAGCAGUGGUAGCAGGAGCAGUUGCCAAAACGUUACUCCGAGUCUCACAGCCCGCCACCACCACCACCACUGCUCGCUCACUCACUUCUUCUGAGCACACGUACAGGGUCGACGUUUCUCUUUCCUUGGGAAGAAAACUUCUGAUAUUUCUCUACAUAUUACUCGUGGUCAUCAUCAAAUCGUCCCCGUCAUCUCGUCACACGAUGUCCAAGUAAUAUUCUUGAAUAUUCGACAUCAUCGCAGCCCUACUCAGAGCAGCAGGCUUCGGAUUCUUAUUCGUUUCGUUUUUGUCUUCUUCUUCGUCAAAAGCCACAAAAUCUAUUUUUGUGUUGUUGGACCUGAAGUCGUCUUCCUUCGAUUUUUCGCAUUUUCUUCCUCCAGAGGACAGAUAUUGCAAUAAAAAAUCGUCUCCCCCUAGAACAGCAGACUUCGGAUUCUUACUUGAGGUUUUCCAAGAAUUACGAAUCUUUAUGGAAAUAUCUAUUUGGUUCAUUAAUCAUAUGUAUGAGUAGUCAUUAAUUGUGUUGUAGGAUAACCACCUGGAUUGAAUUUUAGUUAUUUGUUAUACAUACAUUACACAUUAGUAAUGUUUAACUGCUUUGUGCGGUAUUAAUAAAUUACUGCUUAGUGCGGUUUAAUAAAUAGCUGCUUAGUGCGGUUAAAUAAAUAGCUGCUUAGUGCGGUUAUUAAUAAAGGAAUUUGUUUCCCAAAAUGUCAUUACCGAAAAUACAGAAAUUAACUGUCAAUGAUUCUGUUUUUCAUUAUCAUUCAUGGAAUGCUAAUGGAAUUGAUGAGGUCAAAAUUAAAUGCAUGAUGCCCACUUGGACCGGAAGUGAUUUAAUUUUCAUUCAAGAGACUAAAUUGAAUCCCUCCGAUGAGCAAAAAAUCCUGGAUCUGGCUCUGACGUAUGGGUUCAACGCUAAAUUCCACAGUUCAUUGAAGGGCAAAUAUUCAGAUUACAUGAGUUAUGGAGUUUGUGUUUUUUACAAAAGGGGACUUGACGUAACCUAUACGAAUAUGAGUAAGGCCUUUCCCGAUAUAUCCACGCAAAAUAAGGAAAGAAUAAUGAUGAUUAAUGUAAGGCAUGCAGUAAAUGAAAACAACGCAAUUUAUUUUGUAAAUGUUUAUCUUCCAUGCAAUCAUCAUGGUGAUAGUAUUAGAGAUGCUGAACGGGAAAAUUGGGUUACGACAAUCGGCCAAUUAUGCAACAAAUUGAAAAAUAGACAUGCUAUUUGGAUCGGUGAUUUUAAUAUGAUGAAGUUAAACACUGAUUUAGUUUCAUCAAUGACAUCUUCGGACCCAAGAUGUGUAUACUAUGAGAAAUGCAUGGAAAAAUUCAACGAGUUUAAGUUUGGGAAUGUGUGUAGCAAAUUAUGGCCACAAACAAUUUUCACAAGAUAUGCGUUUGGCUCCAAUAAGAUUUACAAAUCUAGAUUGGAUUAUGUUAUAGUCUCUCAGUCGAUGAAAAACUUCAACUUGAUGGUGGUGCCCAGUUAUGAUGAAGCAACCAUGUAUCUUAGCGACCACAUCAAUUUAAAAUGUUCUAUUCGUUGUGCAUCAGAAGAACAUCCAAACAUAGAGUGUGCCCCAAAAAUUGAAUGUAAGCUUCCUGAUUUGCAAAAUGCAAACAUUAGAAGUUGUCCAUAUUGUUCAAUACAGCUAAAAUAUAAUAGCCGUUCAAACAUAGCUCAACAUAUUAUGAUUCACACGAAUGAAAGACCGUACAAAUGCGAAAACCACUGUGGGUUUCGAACCAAUGCUAAGCCAUCCCUGUCGUACCACAUGUCGGUAUGCAAAGGUUCUUUUGAAAGUCGCAUGAAUUAUUGUCCUGAUUGUCCGGCUUACACUCCAAUUAAUGAGCAAUAUAUGCAACAUAUAAAAAUCUGUGCAAAGAAAAAAACAAAAUUUAAUCCUCUCGCAAAGUUUAGUUGUCAAAAAUGUUAUUAUGACUGUGACACACCAUCUAAAUGGGUCAAACAUCAGGAAACUGAAGUACAUAAUGCUGCGCAAAUAUUGGUUUGGUAUUUUUGUCUUCCCUGCAAUUUCUGUACAUACAAUGAAAAGCAUUUAAACGACCAUUACGAAACAAAUAAACACACUCGAAUGCUCGAGUGAACAUUAAGAUGAACAUUUAGUGAACCAUGAUAGACAAGAACAGCAUUUACCCGUUAAUGCUGUACAACAACAGUAUGGUCUUUGCAGAUGAGGCUGCAGUUGCAAGAUUCAUUAUUCAACAAACAACGUGAGAUAUAAAUUAAAUAUUCGAAAAAGUCUAGUCAUGUUUGGAAAUUCAUGGAUUUUAAACUAAUUAUCAGGGGUAUGUGGAAUGAUGCACCCGACGCUGCCCCACUCUACGUCAAACUUGCAGAGAUCCAUUCUUCCCUACUUCCGGAGAAAUUCGCCAUGAACUCAAAGACUGUGACGCCUCUAGCUCUAGUUGACCGAGCACUGGAGAAGUACAGCAAAUAUAGCAAAGCGUUACAUCGUAAGGCGAAGAUUCUAUUCAAGUUGCAUAAGCAUGAACAAGGUCUGGUCUGUUUGGAGGCGGCCUUUGCUUGUGGAGAAACCAAUUGUGAUGCCUUAUGCGAUCUGAUCUUUCGACUUAUGAGAUACCCAAAUCGGGACAAACUGGACCCAAUCUUCCAAAAGUACUGUUCAGAUUAUGGUGAAAAUCUGUGGGGGAAGAGGAAAGUCGGGACGAUUUAUUAUCUUUGUGGAAAUUAUUUGUGGAUGCUGAAUUUAAAAAAGGCUGCCGUGAUCCACUGGCUCAAGGCUGAACAAUCGAACCCAAACCCAAUGUAUUUUCAAAAAUUGCACAUUCAAAAAACAAAUUAUAAAUGGCACCAGUCGUCAGUCUUGCGAUAUGAGAAUAUUAUACAUUAUUUGAAAGGGAUGAAGAAUGGUGUAUUUGAUCGGUAUGCUCGGGACAGCUUGCUUUCAAAACUACAAAGUCUCCUUGACCAGUAAAAAAUAAUCAAACAUUCCUGUUCAUUUGUUAAUAGUUAGUCAAGAAACGAUACAAAGUUAUCCUUAAUUAUAAAACACUGCAUUCUCAUUCAGAAAUGUAAUAAAUGAAAUAUAAUAAACAUCGCUAUUUAUUGAGAUUAAAAA
Molecule: RNA transcript, 9138 nt
Organism: Folsomia candida
Lineage: Eukaryota; Metazoa; Arthropoda; Collembola; Entomobryomorpha; Isotomidae
Exons: 12
Source: RefSeq, a predicted model, not a curated record